RNAcentral lists this ribosomal RNA (159 nucleotides) under uncultured Cortinarius. RNAcentral describes it as "5.8S ribosomal RNA". It matches the Rfam family "5.8S ribosomal RNA". Rfam says of the family: 5.8S ribosomal RNA (5.8S rRNA) is a component of the large subunit of the eukaryotic ribosome. It is transcribed by RNA polymerase I as part of the 45S precursor that also contains 18S and 28S rRNA. The record is from RNAcentral. Lineage: Eukaryota; Fungi; Basidiomycota; Agaricomycetes; Agaricales; Cortinariaceae.
UACAACCUUCAACAACGGAUCUCUUGGCUCUCGCAUCGAUGAAGAACGCAGCGAAAUGCGAUAAGUAAUGUGAAUUGCAGAAUUCAGUGAAUCAUCGAAUCUUUGAACGCACCUUGCGCUCCUUGGUAUUCCGAGGAGCAUGCCUGUUUGAGUGUCUUG